UCUAGAUUUAGGUAAAGCAGUUCAGGGCCACCACUCGUAGAUGGGCAGGUUUGACACUGCACAGCCUACGGGGGGUGCCAUUUGCAGAGUAUGAGGUGAAUAACACACACACACACACACACACACACACACACACAUAUAUAUAUAUAUAUAUAUAUACAUGUAUGCCCUAAGCUGAAUUAGCAGGGCCUCCCCAUAAUGGAGGGUUUUUGUGUAACCCUGACCCUGGUCCCCGGGAGCUACUAUGACGUUGAGAGUCCUGAGCCUUUCAGAAGCUCCCUGGGAGUCACGCUCCUGCAUUUUGACAACUGAGUGAGACCCUCGGGCAAGCUGCCAGCUAUGCAGUCUCGUGUAGUAAAUCCCGUAGCAUAAUGCUGGACAUCCGACAAAGUCCCCUAGAAAUGCUAGUUGGUAUUAUUACUGUAGUGGAAUAGAGAAGAAACAUGGGUCAGAUCACCUCAUGGGAUUCAAGACUUUGACCCAAUCUCUGAGGUGGCUUGGCACAGAGCCAGCUUCGAUAGGAAGCUGACCCUGCCAUUUAUGGCCGGGGGAACAUGUCUGACAUCAGACCUUGCAAGGCUCUGUUGAGAAAUCAGUUGUGUGUCUGUCUUCUCCGGGAAGGUGACUUGUGAAUGUCUCUGAAGGGCUGGGGGAGGGGCCUUGAGUCGGGAAUGUGAUCUCUGUUUUACCCGCUCUCCCUCCCCAUCCCCACAUCUGUUCUAUUUUGAGCGGAUGGAAUGGUCAGGAGGAGGCUGAAAUGCAAGGCCACCUUCCUUUGGGCUAGGGGUCAGCAGGAGUUGGAGGGUCUUAGAAACUGGAAGCAUACACGGAGAGAGAGAGAGAGAGAGAGAGAGAAAGUAGAAUAUAUACCUUGUGCAAGGGAAAGACUCACCUUCACACACAAUUCUAAUUGCAAUGGGGCAUUUCUCAUCUCUGGUUUGGGCAGCUCGGCCAUCACUGCUUCUGGGCCAGUGGGCUUUACGCUUGAGUCUUGAUGAUACUCCUCUGGGACUCCAGAUUUCCAGGACCCCACCCUCAGCUAUUCAGAUUCGGUAGGACUGGGACCCUCCCCUUACAUCAACCUCGGGUUGGAGCGGUGAGUUGGAUACCUUCCAUGUAUCCACUCUCUGCCUUUCUUACCCUGCUCUAUGCAGUGGGAUGCUGACUGAUAAGGACUACCUAAAUGGAUUCCCCUGUCCUCUGGAUUCUGAGCUCAGCCAGCGGGACCCUAGUAGGAGAUGGGUGGGCUGAAACUUCAAGUCAGGGCAUUUAUUCCCCCCCCAGCUCUGUCUCUGCUAGUUGCUGGGAUUGGCUCCUGCUGGGCGGCCAUCAUCAUACAGCUUCCUCCCUGGGCUCCCGUAAUGUCACCCUUGCUUCACUCCUUAGACCUAGAGGCAGUGACAGCUCCCAACUGUUACUGGCUUUGGGGUGCUGCACCAUCACUCAUUUUCUUUUCCCCCGAGCCGUUUCCACAUGUUAUUACGCUCUCACCAGUCUGAUAAAACUCUCUCUCCUUGCCCAGCUUCAGUAUGCCACCUGGUCCUGCCAGGGCUCUGAGCCAUUCAGGGAUUGUCCAUAAAGCUGCCUUUUAAGCAAGGGGCCCAUCUUAAACAUGGAGAACUUUUAGAAAUACUGCUUUAUGGCCUUUUAUGCUCUCUAGUUCUUUUUCAGUCCCUUGGCGCUUAACUCAUUUGAGACCAAGGUGAUGUUUUGCAAAGGCAACUUUACCAGAAAAUGAAUUUAAAAAAAAAAAGACUGUUCAAUGGGAAAAUAUAAAA
Molecule: long non-coding RNA, 1778 nt
Organism: Lynx canadensis (Canada lynx)
Lineage: Eukaryota; Metazoa; Chordata; Mammalia; Carnivora; Felidae
Exons: 2
Source: RefSeq, a predicted model, not a curated record